AGCAGUAUGGUGUAAUCAAGCACACGGACUCUCUAUAAGGCGACACAGAAAAAGAACAAGAAAAUAUGAAUCCCCGAGGUCCUUGUUCGACUCAAGGUACUGCUC
Mycena capillaripes is the source of this 105-nucleotide non-coding RNA. Lineage: Eukaryota; Fungi; Basidiomycota; Agaricomycetes; Agaricales; Mycenaceae. The record is from the annotation of a GenBank genome assembly.